Molecule: unclassified non-coding RNA, 462 nt
Filed under: uncultured fungus
Lineage: Eukaryota; Fungi
Description: partial internal transcribed spacer 1
Rfam family: Bacterial small subunit ribosomal RNA
Source: RNAcentral
CCUACGGGGGGCAGCAGUCGGGAAUUUUGGGCAAUGGGCGAAAGCCUGACCCAGCAACGCCGCGUGAAGGAUGAAAUCCUUCGGGAUGUAAACUUCGCAAGAAUGGGAAGAAUAAGUAGGGGACAAUACCCCCUAUGAUGACGGUACCAUUUGUAAGCUCCGGCUAACUUCGUGCCAGCAGCCGCGGUAAUACGAGGGGAGCAAGCGUUGUUCGGAUUUACUGGGCGUAAAGGGCGCGUAGGCGGCGUGACAAGUCACUUGUGAAAUCUCCGGGCUUAACUCGGAACGGUCAAGUGAAACUGUCGUGCUAGAGUACAGAAGGGGCAACUGGAAUUCUCGGUGUAGCGGUGAAAUGCGUAGAUAUCGAGAGGAACACCUGCGGCGAAGGCGGGUUGCUGGGCUGAUACUGACGCUGAGGCGCGAAAGCCAGGGGAGCGAACGGGAUUAGAUACCCUGGUAGUC